UACGUAGGGUCCAAGCGUUGUCCGGAAUUACUGGGCGUAAAGAGCUCGUAGGCGGCCCGCCACGUCGGUCGUGCAAGUCCUGAGCUCAACUCAGGAAUUGCGAUCGAUACGGGCGGGCUAGAGGGCGGAAGAGGCGAGCGGAAUUCCCGGUGUAGCGGUGAAAUGCGCAGAUAUCGGGAGGAACACCAGUGGCGAAGGCGGCUCGCUGGGCCGUUCCUGACGCUGAGGAGCGAAAGCGUGGGUAGCGAACAGG
Molecule: unclassified non-coding RNA, 253 nt
Filed under: uncultured Actinomycetes bacterium
Lineage: Bacteria; Bacillati; Actinomycetota; Actinomycetes
Description: uncultured actinobacterium contains 16S-23S intergenic spacer region
Rfam family: Bacterial small subunit ribosomal RNA
Source: RNAcentral